Molecule: transfer RNA, 78 nt
Filed under: Escherichia phage JLBYU43
Lineage: Duplodnaviria; Heunggongvirae; Uroviricota; Caudoviricetes; Demerecviridae
Description: tRNA-Gln
Rfam family: tRNA
About the family: Transfer RNA (tRNA) molecules are approximately 80 nucleotides in length.
Source: RNAcentral
UUGGAGUGUAGAUCAAUUGGCAGAUCGUCGGCCUCUGACUCCGAAGGUUCCUGGUUCGAUCCCAGGCACUCCAGCCAA